AGUUAUAUAGUUUAAAUAAAACAAAACAUUAAUUUUGUAAAUUAAUAUUAAAAAUUAUUUUUAUAACUU
RNAcentral lists this transfer RNA (69 nucleotides) under Idris sp. MM-2013. RNAcentral's name for it is "tRNA-Thr". The record is from RNAcentral. Lineage: Eukaryota; Metazoa; Arthropoda; Insecta; Hymenoptera; Scelionidae.